This 446-nucleotide ribosomal RNA is filed under the name uncultured bacterium. RNAcentral's name for it is "partial 16S ribosomal RNA". It matches the Rfam family "Bacterial small subunit ribosomal RNA", at positions 329 to 792 of the family's 1533-position model. The record is from RNAcentral.
GUCCAGACUCCUACGGGAGGCAGCAGUGGGGGAUAUUGCACAAUGGGGGAAACCCUGGUGCAGCGACGCCGCGUGAGUGAAGAAGUAUUUCGGUAUGUAAAGCUCUAUCAGCAGGGAAGAAAAUGACGGUACCUGACUAAGAAGCCCCGGCUAACUACGUGCCAGCAGCCGCGGUAAUACGUAGGGGGCAAGCGUUAUCCGGAUUUACUGGGUGUAAAGGGAGCGUAGACGGCAGUGCAAGUCCGGAGUGAAAGCCCGGGGCUCAACCCUGGGACUGCUCUGGAAACUGUAAAGCUGGAGUGCGGGAGGGGCAGGCGGAAUUCCUGGUGUAGCGGUGAAAUGCGUAGAUAUCAGGAGGAACACCGGCGGCGAAGGCGGCCUGCUGGACCGUAACUGACGUUGAGGCUCGAAAGCGUGGGGAGCAAACAGGAUUAGAUACCCGAGUA